Molecule: regulatory RNA element, 164 nt
Organism: Desulfosporosinus sp.
Lineage: Bacteria; Bacillati; Bacillota; Clostridia; Eubacteriales; Desulfitobacteriaceae
Source: Rfam
UUUGAUAGAGCAGUAAUCAAACUUGACUUAAGAGCGCUUUCAUACAGCGGGGCAGUGUACAAGGAUGUACACUGCCGGCAACCGGACAAGGAUGUCCGAUUUGCCGGGCACCCCGCCCUCUCACCAGCAAGCUCUUAAGUCUUAGUUUGAUCUGCGAGAGCAAG